CCUACGGGAGGCUGCAGUGGGGAAUAUUGGACAAUGGGCGCAAGCCUGACCCAGCAACGCCGCGUGAAGGAAGAAGGCUUUCGGGUUGUAAACUUCUUUUCUCAGGGACGAAAAAAGUGACGGUUCCUUAGGAAUAAGCCACUGCUAACUACGUGCCAGCAGCCGCGGUAAUACGGAGGUGGCAAGCGUUAUCCGGAUUUAGUGGGUGUAAAGGGCGCGUAGGCGGGAGCGCAAGUCAGAAGUGAAACCCCAGGGCUCAACCCUGAGCCUGCAUUUGAAACUGUGUUUCUGGAGUGCUGGAGAGGCAAUCGGAAUUCCGGGUGUAGCGGUGAAAUGCGUAGAUAUACGGAGGAACACCAGUGGCGAAGGCGGAUUGCUGGACAGUAACUGACGCUGAGGCGCGAAGGCGUGGGGAGCAAACAGGAUUAGAUACCCCAGUAGUC
This 443-nucleotide ribosomal RNA is filed under the name uncultured bacterium. Its description in RNAcentral is "partial 16S ribosomal RNA". It matches the Rfam family "Bacterial small subunit ribosomal RNA", at positions 338 to 795 of the family's 1533-position model. The record is from RNAcentral.